GACGAACGCUGGCGGCGUGCCUAAUACAUGCAAGUCGAGCGGACCGGAUUGGGGCUUGCCUUGAUUCGGUCAGCGGCGGACGGGUGAGUAACACGUGGGCAACCUGCCCGCAAGACCGGGAUAACUCCGGGAAACCGGAGCUAAUACCGGAUAACACCGAAGACCGCAUGGUCUUCGGUUGAAAGGCGGCCUUUGGGCUGUCACUUGCGGAUGGGCCCGCGGCGCAUUAGCUAGUUGGUGAGGUAACGGCUCACCAAGGCGACGAUGCGUAGCCGGCCGGAGAGGGGGAACGGCCAAACUGGGAAUGAGAAAAGGCCCAGACUCCUACGGGAGGGAGCAGGAGGGAAUCUUCCGCAAUGGGCGAAAGCCUGACGGAGCGACGCCGCGUGAGCGAAGAAGGCCGUCGGGUCGUAAAGCUCUGUUGUGAGGGACGAAGGAGCGUCGUUCGAAGAGGGCGGCGCGGUGACGGUACCUCACGAGAAAGCCCCGGCUAACUACGUG
RNAcentral lists this ribosomal RNA (501 nucleotides) under uncultured bacterium. RNAcentral describes it as "partial 16S ribosomal RNA". It matches the Rfam family "Bacterial small subunit ribosomal RNA", at positions 28 to 507 of the family's 1533-position model. The record is from RNAcentral.